GGCUGACGAGUGGCGCACGGGUGCCCUUUUCGUAUACAAUCUACGUUGUAAGGGGUAUAGCCUUUGGAACUGAAAAAUAAUCCCCCAGAAUAUCUUAUUAGUGGCAUCGUUAAAAGAUUAAAGCUUCGGUGGUAAGAGAUGAGUAUGCGUUCUAUUACCUAUUAGGUGAGGUAACGGCUCACCUAGGCGACGAUAGAUAGGGGCCCUGAGAGGGGGAUCCCCCUCACUGGUACUGAGACACGGACCACACUCCUACGGGAGGCAGCAGCGAGAAAUAUUGGACAAUGGGCGCAAGC
RNAcentral lists this ribosomal RNA (296 nucleotides) under uncultured bacterium. RNAcentral's name for it is "partial 16S ribosomal RNA". It matches the Rfam family "Bacterial small subunit ribosomal RNA", at positions 86 to 382 of the family's 1533-position model. The record is from RNAcentral.